This 370-nucleotide ribosomal RNA is filed under the name uncultured bacterium. Its description in RNAcentral is "bacterial SSU rRNA". It matches the Rfam family "Bacterial small subunit ribosomal RNA", at positions 48 to 418 of the family's 1533-position model. The record is from RNAcentral.
CUUACACAUGCAAGUCGAACGGCAGCACGGGAGCAAUCCUGGUGGCGAGUGGCGAACGGGUGAGUAAUACAUCGGAACGUGUCCUGUAGUGGGGGAUAGCCCGGCGAAAGCCGGAUUAAUACCGCAUACGAUCUGCGGAUGAAAGCGGGGGCUCCUUCGGGACCUCGCGCUACAGGGGCGGCCGAUGGCAGAUUAGCUAGUUGGUGGGGUAAAGGCCUACCAAGGCGACGAUCUGUAGCUGGUCUGAGAGGACGACCAGCCACACUGGGACUGAGACACGGCCCAGACUCCUACGGGAGGCAGCAGUGGGGAAUUUUGGACAAUGGGCGAAAGCCUGAUCCAGCAAUGCCGCGUGUGUGAAGAAGGCCUU